CUUUUGUUUACAUCGUGUGGUGCACCGACGAGGCCUUCGUUUGCCGGUGCUGACAGGCAGGUCGACCUUCGACGCUGCACGGAAUGCUAAGUCGAAUGGUGCGGAACAUUUGCAUAGCGAGCGGAACCUUUUGACAAGAAAAAGAGAGAGAGAGAGAGAAAGAAAGACAUCUGCUAGGCCUGCAGCUGAAAACGGGAACGAGAACGGGCGUGUAGUUAUCGUUCUGAUGACGCUCAUCACUCCACGAUCAAACUUAUGCCAACAGGAGUGCAAGCAAGGC
Dermacentor andersoni is the source of this 280-nucleotide long non-coding RNA. RefSeq lists it as uncharacterized. Lineage: Eukaryota; Metazoa; Arthropoda; Arachnida; Ixodida; Ixodidae. The record is from RefSeq and is a predicted model, not a curated record.